ACCUGGUUGACUCAGUUGGUAGAGUAUGUGACUCUUGAUCUCGUGGUUAUGAGUUUGAGCCCCACAUUGGGUA
RNAcentral lists this transfer RNA (73 nucleotides) under Ailuropoda melanoleuca (giant panda). It matches the Rfam family "tRNA". From Rfam's summary of the family: Transfer RNA (tRNA) molecules are approximately 80 nucleotides in length. Their secondary structure includes four short double-helical elements and three loops (D, anti-codon, and T loops). The record is from Rfam by way of RNAcentral. Lineage: Eukaryota; Metazoa; Chordata; Mammalia; Carnivora; Ursidae.